RNAcentral lists this ribosomal RNA (150 nucleotides) under Citrobacter sp. FBT4-10. RNAcentral's name for it is "partial 16S ribosomal RNA". It matches the Rfam family "Bacterial small subunit ribosomal RNA", at positions 354 to 496 of the family's 1533-position model. The record is from RNAcentral. Lineage: Bacteria; Pseudomonadati; Pseudomonadota; Gammaproteobacteria; Enterobacterales; Enterobacteriaceae.
GUGGGGAAUAUUGCACAAUGGGCGCAAGCCUGAUGCAGCCAUGCCGCGUGUAUGAAGAAGGCCUUCGGGUUGUAAAGUACUUUCAGCGAGGAGGAAGGCAUUGGGGUUAAUAACCGCAGUGAUUGACGUUACUCGCAGAAGAAGCACCGG